GACGAACCGUGCGAACGUUGUUCGGAAUCACUGGGCUUAAAGGGCGCGUAGGCGGGUUUGCAAGGCUGUGGUGAAAGCCUCCAGCUUAACUGGAGAAGUGCCAUGGAUACUGCACAUCUUGAGGAGGGUAGGGGCAUCUGGAACGGUCGGUGGAGCGGUGAAAUGCGUUGAUAUCGACCGGAACUCCGGUGGCGAAGGCGAGGUGCUGGACCCUUUCUGACGCUGAGGCGCGAAAGCCAGGGGAGCAAACGGG
RNAcentral lists this ribosomal RNA (253 nucleotides) under uncultured bacterium. RNAcentral's name for it is "partial 16S ribosomal RNA". It matches the Rfam family "Bacterial small subunit ribosomal RNA", at positions 524 to 776 of the family's 1533-position model. The record is from RNAcentral.